This 271-nucleotide ribosomal RNA is filed under the name uncultured archaeon. RNAcentral describes it as "partial 16S ribosomal RNA". It matches the Rfam family "Archaeal small subunit ribosomal RNA", at positions 476 to 747 of the family's 1478-position model. The record is from RNAcentral.
CCAGCACCUCAAGUGGUCAGGAUGAUUAUUGGGCCUAAAGCAUCCGUAGCCGGCGCUGUAAGUUUUCGGUUAAAUCUGUACGCUCAACGUACAGGCUGCCGGGAAUACUGCAGCGCUAGGGAGUGGGAGAGGUAGACGGUACUCGGUAGGAAGGGGUAAAAUCCUUUGAUCUAUUGAUGACCACCUGUGGCGAAGGCGGUCUACCAGAACACGUCCGACGGUGAGGGAUGAAAGCUGGGGGAGCAAACCGGAUUAGAUACCCGCGUAGUCC